Molecule: long non-coding RNA, 928 nt
Filed under: Trifolium pratense (red clover)
Lineage: Eukaryota; Viridiplantae; Streptophyta; Magnoliopsida; Fabales; Fabaceae
Description: long non-coding RNA (TPRA_LNC012349)
Source: RNAcentral
GGUUUUUUAAUAAGGAGUAUUUUACUAGUUUAUAAGGUGUGCUUAUUGACUAUACAGUGGCGAACACUUACUUUUGGUUGAUAUAUUGACAGGGGCGAACACCAUAUACAUAAGGUGCAUAUUAUGUUUCUGGUUCCGUCCCUGUCCUUGAGCUUCCAACGAAACUAAAAGAAGCGGACGAAGAGGCUAAUAAGGCCAACUUGUUUGCUCAAAAAGCUCGCAAAGUGCUUCGGAGAGUGAAGGAUGAAGAGCUUUUGAAAGGUUGCUAAUACAAGCAAUUAAACCAUUGCAAGAGAGCGAAUCGACUAUAGAAGCAACAACAAUGAAGUGGAUCCAUCGAUUGGUGUGAUAUUUUCGGUCGAGGAGUACUAUCAUCUUGCGACAUAUUAUUGUGCUUAUUAGUUGUACUAUAUUUAUAUUAGCACGUGAGUAAACAGUUAUAUAACAUAUGUUCAAGAUCGUAGUUCAAUUGAUAAAAAUGUCGCAACGAAAAUUAUGAGUGGAAUUCGAAAUUCGGCUCCCUCAUUUAUGUGUUCUACUUUUAUGUUUCUUUUAUACUGUUAGCAGUCAAUAAUAUGUACAAGUAGAUAUUUAAACAUGGGUUAUGUUAACUUGUGCCCUAAGGGCACAUGUUAAGCUACCUAAAAAUAGAAAUAGAGCAUUUAAUGAUAGAAAACAUUUAAUGUUUAGAGAAUUGAAUACACUACAAGUUCAUUAAAUUUUUUCCACAUUUAUCUUCUUAACAUGUGCCCUUAAGGGCACAAGUUAACAUUCUCCUUUAAACAUUAAUAUUGCAGUAAAUAAUGUACACACAUAAUGCAAUAAAUAAAUUAAACACAACCAACGGUCUUUCAGUACUUCUUCCAAAUCCAUAAGUGCAGUUCCCAUCCAGAAGAAGCUACCACCGUUUUAGGAAAAGCAACAAAAU